GAUGAACGCUGGCGGCGUGCCUAAUACAUGCAAGUCGAGCGAACAGACGAGGAGCUUGCUCCUUCGACGUUAGCGGCGGACGGGUGAGUAACACGUAGGUAACCUACCUAUAAGACUGGGAUAACUUCGGGAAACCGGAGCUAAUACCGGAUAAUAUUUCGAACCGCAUGGUUCGAUAGUGAAAGAUGGCUUUGCUAUCACUUAUAGAUGGACCUGCGCCGUAUUAGCUAGUUGGUAAGGUAACGGCUUACCAAGGCAACGAUACGUAGCCGACCUGAGAGGGUGAUCGGCCACACUGGAACUGAGACACGGUCCAGACUCCUACGGGAGGCAGCAGUAGGGAAUCUUCCGCAAUGGGCGAAAGCCUGACGGAGCAACGCCGCGUGAGUGAUGAAGGUCUUCGGAUCGUAAAACUCUGUUAUUAGGGAAGAACAAACGUGUAAGUAACUGUGCACGUCUUGACGGUACCGAAUCAGAAAGCCACGGCUAACUACGUG
This 497-nucleotide ribosomal RNA is filed under the name uncultured bacterium. RNAcentral's name for it is "partial 16S ribosomal RNA". It matches the Rfam family "Bacterial small subunit ribosomal RNA", at positions 28 to 507 of the family's 1533-position model. The record is from RNAcentral.